AUGGAGCCGCCCAAGAGGCAGCUGGCCCUGACGGGAGCCGGCGCAGGCCGGGAGGAGGCGAAGCGCCUGCGCGUCGGGGUCGCCAACCCCAGCGCCGCCGGCUGGCAGGCGCCGACAUCGCCGGCGUCGCCGGGGACGCGGCUCAUGCGGCGGACCGUGCUCGUCGUGCUCUUUCUACUGCGAAUGAGCGACGGGAUCACGGUGACGGAAAGCAUCUCCCAGAUUGGUCGCAUGGUUCAGAGGAAGAUGGAAGGGUUUCAAAAGGUUCAGGCUCUUAUGAUGCGCCAAUUGGAAAAUUUCGAGGAGAAGAUGGAGGCCAAAUUGGAAAAUUUAGAGGAGAAGCUGGAGGGCAAAUUGGGAAAUUUAGAAGAGAAGAUGGAGAGCAAGAGCCAGGAAGUGAAGGAGUUGGCAUGUUUUCAUUCCAAUAGACACGCUGAUAAACACCCAAGAUCAGAACCAUAUCAGGAGGGUGCCACUUUGAGUGAACCGAAUGCCAACAUUCGCCUGCGUUUCCUGGAUGGCCUGAAGACUCCAAUUUACACAGACAAGAUUAUAGCAUCUGAGAGCAAUGCGGCUAUCAGGAUUGGCGUCUUUGAUGGUGACAAAAUGAUCAAUGAAGGCCCGCUUUCCAAGGCGAAAGUUGAGAUCCUGGUUCUCCGUGGCGACUUCUGCAGUGACGGUCAGGAGAGUUGGACUGAAGAGGAGUUCAACAGCCACAUAGCGCAAGGCCGGCACAGGCAAGGGUCAGUGCUGGGGGGCGAUUGCAGUGCGUGGUUGAACAAUGGGGAGGCAUCAUUGGGAAAAAUCUGCUUCAGAGAAGGAUCAUCCAGGACUCCCAGUAGGAAGUUCAUCGUCGGAGGAAGAGUAUGCACGAACAGGAAGAUCGGUGGUAUUCGAGUCCAGGAAGCUGUCAUGGAGCCGGUCACUGUGCUGGAUCGUAGAAAUGAAGCAAAUGAGAAGAGGCACCCUCCAAGAUUGGACGAUGAAGUCUAUCGCCUGGAAGAAAUCUCCAAAGAUGGAAUUUACCACAGGAGGCUUAAGGAUGCUCAGAUAUUCAAAGUUGAGGACUUCCUUAAGGCUUUGAAUAAAGAUGCAGACGAGCUCCGUGAAAUGGUCCUCCAGAUCAAGAAGCGCAGUAACGCUUGGGAAAGAAUGGUUAAGCAUGCCAGGGAAUGCUGCCUCGCAGACAGGCCCGAGCUCAAAGCAUAUCACAGUGUAGAUGGGAAUGUAGUGAUCUUCUUCAAUUGCGUGCAUGAUCUUGUUGGAGCAAUUUUUUAUGGUGUUUACAUUUCACGGGACAAUUUUGAUCCGGCUAAGAAGGCUCAAGCGUAUGAGUUGAAAGAGUGUGCGCGCGGUCAGUUGGACAUCCUCCCGUUUGACUAUGUGAUGAAUGGCAAUCUUCCUGAACAAGUUCCCUCUAGCACACAUUCUACUCUGGAUGCAGCAUUCAUUCUUGGGCCGGAUGCCGCGCUUCAACCAAAUGAAAACCAGUUGCAGUACAGGAUCAACAAUAUCACUGAACCAUCUCACCAGAAUGAGUAUAUUCAUGGUGAUCAGAGCACAGUUAACACACAUUAUUACCAAGGAGAAAGUAUUCUACCAGUUGGUCAGCAGCAACCUACAAUUUUCACUGGUGAAUUGCUACACUGGCCCUAUGAAAGAUCAGGUCAAGUGAACAUCCAUAGCCAGAUGCAAGCUCCCAUGUCCAUGGAUGGCGGAAGUGUCAUGCAGGCAUCAACCUCUGUUCAGCACAACCUUCUGUCACAACAAUUUGCUCCUACUCAAGUCCAAGAAAGUAUGCAUGGGAUCCAUUACUCUGAGAAUCCACCUAACCAUGCCGUUGGACCAUCGACAUGGCACGAUGAUAUUAUCCCUGCACGGGAGCCUAGUGCCAAUCUAUUUCCCGGACCGGAUUAUGGGAACUUCUAG
RNAcentral lists this ribosomal RNA (1929 nucleotides) under Triticum aestivum (bread wheat). RNAcentral's name for it is "partial small subunit ribosomal RNA". The record is from RNAcentral. Lineage: Eukaryota; Viridiplantae; Streptophyta; Magnoliopsida; Poales; Poaceae.